CAUUAUUUUUGGAUAUUCCUCCUCUGUAGAAGCUAAUCGAUGAUAUUUUGUGAACUUAAAGCACUAUAGCGUUCGUGUUAUAUUAUAAACGUUUUUUCACACAUGUAACAUUUUGUCUUAAAAUGUAAAACUCUAUUGUAAGAGUAGCAACAUUCUUCAUACGAAGUUUUUGAAUAUGUAAGAAUGAGAAUCAGAUAUUGAAAAUGAAUCCGUUAAAAAUUGCCGUCAUUGAAUCGCCAUACGAAGAAAAAUUUGGAGCAUCGUAAAUGAUUUGAAGAGCGUCAGUUCCAGAUGAGGUUCUCUUAGAACAAUGUGGAUCUUGCGAUAUGUUUGAAUGCUCCAGAAUAACAAUUUUACGGACGUGUUGUUAAGGAGACACUAUGAAAAUAUAACAAAAAUACUGAUGUGAUUGUCUCAUAGACACCUACCUUAAUAUUCAUGUGGUUGACUCGCAGACACUUUUUCGCUUGAAAUGGCACGGGAUGAUAAUAAGGGGAUUUGAUAAUAAGAUCCAGAUUUUAUUAAAAACCAAGUAUCAUCAUGGAAGCCUACAUUUGAAUGCCGCUCUUAAGUCAAAUACGUACAUGAUUGAAAUAUAAAAUUCUGUUAGAAAAAGCUAUUUUUCAUAAAAAUGUUUGGAAAUUGUUAAUGUUAAUGUAUACUAAAAGAAAGAUAGUUUAAUUAUCUUUUAAUCCAUAAUGAAUUAAAAAAAAAUGCAUUUAUUUUGUAAAUGCUUCAAGGCUAUAUUUAUUGUUUUAUGCAAGUCAAAAGUACAUGUCGAAAUACAAAAUGUUGUUAGCAUGGGCUUUGUUUUAUAAGCAUGUUUAAAAAUAUACAAUGUUAACGCAUAUGAAAAUGGAGAUAGUUCAA
Molecule: long non-coding RNA, 870 nt
Organism: Bactrocera neohumeralis
Lineage: Eukaryota; Metazoa; Arthropoda; Insecta; Diptera; Tephritidae
Exons: 3
Source: RefSeq, a predicted model, not a curated record